GUCUUUUCUCGCCGCCCCGCCCUUCAAGGGCGCGGCCACUUAUUGUGGAUAGCAGAACCUACUCUGCGUCGCUCCGGAACCGCCCCAUCCGUCACGUGACGGGUAGAGUGGGUCAAAGGAGGAGUGGUUCCUCCGACCGGAAGUGGGGCAGGGUCACAGUUAGCCCAGGGAUAGAGCAAGCUUCGUGUGUCCUUCCGGCGGGCGACGCCCUGGCCACGCAGCUGCCUCCCUGAGAGCUGAUCCGGUCUGACCCGGAGCGGGCAGGAAGCCAGCCCCGGGCCGCGUUUUCUUGUUUCCUCUCCGGAGCGGAUACGAUGGAGGCAGAGCGGGAGGGAGCGGCCUGGAGUUGGAGCCGGAAGGAAACAGCGCAGAGGCCCGGCCCACUUAGCCCUAUUGGACAAAUGAGAAAACCGAGGCCCACGGGAUGGGGGCGGGGGUCCCCAAGAUUCCCGAGCUAAGCCGGAAGGCGCCGGCGCAGAGGCCCACGUCCUCACCCCCAUUGGACGAAUGAGUAAACUGAGGGCCCCGGGAGUGUGACGUGACCUGAGAUCACAGAGCUGAACGGGUUCGCAGGGGCGACUUAGUCCAAUUCCGCCUCAGAACGGAAGCGUGCAGAGUCGCUCCAGGAGCAAGAAAGAGCGGCGUGUAAAAGCGGGACCUGCCCGGAAGAGCGUGGCGGCCCCCUGCUGGGAGCCCCGGCUCAGGCACUUUGUCUCCCUCUUGUCGCUCUGACCCGCCCGCUGAUGGGCGACGUCCUCCUGAGUGGGGGUGGGAUGGGUUUGAAGCCCGGCUUUGCUCCUGGAUCCCUGGGGUCGGUCCAACCCCCCCGCCCCCGGGACUCCGUUGUCCCGCUUGUAAAACGAGGAAGCUGCAGCUGAGGCCGGCAGCCCUGCCCCCCCCCCCCCCAGCCCUCCUCGCUUGCCCUCCCCCAAGCACCAGAGCGGAAGGGGGCGCGGCCGCACGGCCGCCUUUUGGACGGACCCUUGCUGAACUUACAGGUGGCACUGACUGGGCGUGGCCUCCAACCAAAGCAGGCCUUUAUAGGGCGCAGAGCGGUGGGGAAGAGGAGGAUAGUUGGUUUGGAGCCUUCGGUGCUGAACUUGCUUUUGGUGUUAACCUAAUUUUAUCCUAAAUUCAUAUUGUCAGCAAACUGCUCUCUUUAGAACUAUAACGUUAUACCACAGGAUGAUAUUAGUGAUCGUAGGGAGAAAAAUCAAAUGUCUUUUUUUAAGAAAAAAAAAAAAGCACAAUGGGACCCUCUAUUUUCUCUACUUGUUGAUGAAGAGUUUGACAUUUCUUCCUCAGCUUUUCUUUUAGUUGCCCUCAUUCAGUUCUAUGCCCUCAGAGUGACAACUUUUCUGGAUUAACAUCUCCUUAUUCCUGAAAGUGCAGAUUAAGAGUAUACAGCAGUGAGAGUCAGAGCAGGUUCAAACUCCACCCCAAUAUUUCCAGCGUGUGUGAUCCCAGAAACCCUUAAAUCCUCUAUAUUGUGUCUUCUCCGGACUUGGGGUCAGGAAGAUCCAACUUUGAAUUCUGCCUCAGAUGACCGCUAUGGGACCAUGGACAAAUCACUUACCUCACUUGGCUCAUUUGUGGGGAUGAUUACAGCAUUUUCCUCAACGAGCUGGUAGAAGCAAAUGAGACCACAUGUAUAGAACCGUUUGCAAGUUGUACAGCACUAUAAAAUGCUAGCAUUGACAGCAGUGAUGAUGAUGGAGACAAUGCCAAAAGGCCCCUUCCUGGUCUAAAACUGAUUCCAGGACUUUGCCCUGCCACAAUAAAGUACUUGUGAGGACGAUCUGUACACGUGUGGAGGAUAGCUUUACUGAAGCUAUGAAGGGUUAGACAGGCUUUCACAAGGGAUAUACUAUUGUGCCACUGAAUGAGAAGGGGAGAGCACUUUUGCCAUAAAGGAUCUGUCAAAAAGAGGGCUCUUGCAUGUUAUGAUCAUAACAAGGUUUCUUAACAAAUCUCUGUCAGUAUCAAAAGAAGAACAUGCAGUGAAAUGUGUACUUACAAAGGUCAACACUUUUGUGUUAGUCUCUAGAGACAGAACUACAAAAAGUGAAAUCCUUUAUAGAUGGUGAGGUCUUCCAUAUGUUCCAAUGGGCAGAUAUUUUAUCACAGUUACUACAUCCCUAUUACUAUGCCAGUCGCUACGCUGAGUGGUAGAGAUAGAGAAAAGACUCCCUGCCCCCAAAGAUGGUACGACCUAACCAGGAGACGGUAUGCAAUUAAAUAUGUACAAACAAGGAAAUGAGAGGGAGAGCAUUGGAAUUAGGAAAGACUGCCGGUAGAAGACGGAAUUUUAGCUGGAACUUGAAGGAAACCAGGAGAAAUUUACAUGAUUGUAGAUGAUGAGAGAAUCCAUAUGGUCCAAGGGGCAAUGGAGGGAUGCAUACAUAAUGGACACAAGACAACUACAUUAGAGUACCAACAAUGGCUUAUGUGCAAAUAGUGUUGUAAGGCCUAUCAUCCGGGAAACAUGGAACCAAAAAAGGAGAGAGUCCAAGCAUGCAUCUUGAGCAAGGGCAAAAACAGCCAACACGGGUGCCUUAAUAGGAAACUCCUGAGGAUUUUUUGGAAGACCUCUAUUUCAUUAAUGGCACAUAUUCUUUAUGGAGGAUUUUCAGAAGGAGCUGAACAAGAAAGGAUCAGGUGGUAGAGGGCCACUGAGUGCAAAGUCAAAGAGUGCGCAUAACAGUGAAAUAGUGAAUCCAGUCCAACAAAGAAAACAUUUUUCAAGCAUUUGAGAUUGAGGCAUUAUGCUACACAAUUCUCAGUUUUUAUGAUUGAAAUUAUAAAAUGUUAAUUAUUAAUAUAACAAUGGUUAUUAGUAUAUAUAAUUACAAUAUAAUGUAAUUAUAUAUAGUAAUAAUUAUCAUUUAAAAUAAAUUAAAUAUGAGAUUAGAUAUUUAGCAAAUAUCAGGUUGUAAAACUCCUAUGAACCAAAAACAUGGUUAACAUAAUCUGAAGUCAUACCUGCAAAGAAACUUUGUUAUACAGAUUGGAAGCCAGGAAAUUAAAGCAGGAAAACUUGGUCAGAAAAGUGAAAAUGUGACUGCAAAGGAAUCAUCACAGUUUUAUGUGGACAUAUUUAUAGACAGAAAAAGAAGGUUGUUUCUUUUUCAUCUGAAAGUUUAAAUCUUAUUUCAUUUAGUCCAGAGUCUACCGGGAUUUGUUUGGUUAAUAAGGCAUGACAUUAAGAAAGCAAUGUAAAGCCUUUUUUGUAGGCUAUCUGUAGGCAAUAAAAAGCUCUGUCUUAUUAUA
Long non-coding RNA from Sarcophilus harrisii (Tasmanian devil), 3270 nucleotides. RefSeq lists it as uncharacterized. NCBI's taxonomy places the organism in Eukaryota, Metazoa, Chordata, Mammalia, Dasyuromorphia, Dasyuridae. The transcript is spliced from 2 exons. The record is from RefSeq and is a predicted model, not a curated record.